Molecule: ribosomal RNA, 423 nt
Filed under: Alectorobius mimon
Lineage: Eukaryota; Metazoa; Arthropoda; Arachnida; Ixodida; Argasidae
Description: Carios mimon partial 16S ribosomal RNA
Source: RNAcentral
GGUAUUUUGACUAUACGAAGGUAUUGAAAUAAGGCUUUAAUUGGGUGCUAAGAGAAUGGUUGAACAAAGAUUAACUUUCUUUUUAUUUAUAAUAGAAUUUGAUUUAAAAAUGAAAAAGUUUUUAUAAAAAUUUGGGACAAGAAGACCCUAUGAAUUUUUUUUAUAAUUUUAUUUAUAAUUUUUGAUUAAUGGAGUUAAAUGGAGUUUUAAAUUGGUUGGGGUGAUUUUUAAAGAAUGUUUAUCUUUAAAAGUAGGGACUAGAACCAGGAUUCUUGGUUGAUUGAGUAAAAUACUCUAGGGAUAACAGCGUUAUUAUUUUGGAUAGUUCAUAUAGAUAAAAUAGUUUGCGACCUCGAUGUUGGAUUAAGAUACUUUUUUAAUGUAGUCGUUAAAGGAAGGAGUUUGCUCAACUUUUGAAAUCUU